Molecule: ribosomal RNA, 460 nt
Filed under: uncultured bacterium
Lineage: Bacteria
Description: partial 16S ribosomal RNA
Rfam family: Bacterial small subunit ribosomal RNA
Source: RNAcentral
CCUACGGGAGGCAGCAGUGAGGAAUAUUGGUCAAUGGACGAGAGUCUGAACCAGCCAAGUAGCGUGAAGGAUGACUGCCCUAUGGGUUGUAAACUUCUUUUAUAUGGGAAUAAAAUGUUCCACGUGUGGGAUUUUGUAUGUACCAUAUGAAUAAGGUACGGCUAACUCCGUGCCAGCAGCCGCGGUAAUACGGAGGAUCCGAGCGUUAUCCGGAUUGAAUGGGUUUAAAGGGAGCGUAGGUGGAUUGUUAAGGCAGAUGUGAAAGUUUGCGGCUUAACCGGAAAAUUGCAGUUGAAACUGGCAGUCUUGAGUACGGUAGAGGUGGGCGGAAGUCGAGGUGUAGCGGUGAAAUGCUUAGAUAUCACGAAGAACUCCGAUGGCGAAGGCAGCCCACUGGACUGCAACUGACACUGAGGCUCGAAAGUGUGGGUAUCAAACAGGAUUAGAUACCCCAGUAGUC